This 193-nucleotide ribosomal RNA is filed under the name uncultured bacterium. RNAcentral's name for it is "partial 16S ribosomal RNA". It matches the Rfam family "Bacterial small subunit ribosomal RNA", at positions 339 to 524 of the family's 1533-position model. RNAcentral also lists the same sequence under 1 other name. The record is from RNAcentral.
CUACGGGAGGCAGCAGUAGGGAAUCUUCCACAAUGGACGAAAGUCUGAUGGAGCAACGCCGCGUGAGUGAAGAAGGGUUUCGGCUCGUAAAGCUCUGUUGGUAGUGAAGAAAGAUAGAGGUAGUAACUGGCCUUUAUUUGACGGUAAUUACUUAGAAAGUCACGGCUAACUACGUGCCAGCAGCCGCGGUAAU